Molecule: long non-coding RNA, 819 nt
Organism: Ailuropoda melanoleuca (giant panda)
Lineage: Eukaryota; Metazoa; Chordata; Mammalia; Carnivora; Ursidae
Exons: 2
Source: RefSeq, a predicted model, not a curated record
AGUUUCCUUUCUUCUCUCAGGGAGCCAAGGGAGUUUGUGGAGAAUUCUGAGUGCAUACAGUGCCAUCCGGAAUGCCUGCCCCAAGCCAUGAAUAUAACCUGCACAGGACGGGGACCGGACAGCUGCGUCAAGUGUGCUCACUACAUCGAUGGCCCUCACUGCGUCAAGACCUGCCCGGCUGGCAUCAUGGGUGAGAACAACACCCUGGUCUGGAAGUUUGCGGAUGCCAAUCGCGUGUGCCACCUGUGCCAUUCCAACUGUACCUACGGGUGAGUGGGAACUCUGUCUGCUGAAGACGCGGGACAAGACAUCUCCUGUUCUGAUUAUGUGUAACCCAAAAAGAAGGAGUCAGGUGGAGGACCGGGAAUCACUUUUCUGAUGAAAUUAGAUGCUACUGUGAGAUGACCUUUUACUUCAUGUUCAGCCACCAUUUCUCCAUAUCAGUCUUCCCAAGGGCCUCUUCAUCUCGCGACUCACUCCCACUCUCUCCCAGCACCUGGCCUGUCGCUGUCCUUGUCAGUCCCCUCUUCAGACGUGACUGGCCUUUCCUUCCCUCUGAGCUGCUCAGGUAGCCUCCCCACCCAGGAACCCCCACAGUUGCCCUGCAGCAUCUUCAGAGGCUGCUAAGCCCUGCCGGUGGCCCCAGAAUUUAUGACUUCAGUUUACACUCACUGUGCAUGGUGUUGCCUUUCGGGGACCGCCAGGCACUGUGGGGGAGAAAAAGUGAGGGAGCAAAGAGAUUUUGAGCAGGGUGUGAGUUCAUCAGUGGUCAUUCAUUAGUGAUGCCUUUCGUCUUUGAUUUUUGGUUUUCCUAGAAGA